GUAGUCUCGCACAGAUGCAUAUCAAUAACGGAGGAAAAGAAACUAACAAGGAUUCCCUCAGUAACGGCGAGUGAAGCGGGAAGAGCUCAAAUUUGAAAUCUUGAAAGGUCACCUUUCACGAAUUGUAGUUUAAAGAAGUGUUUUCUGUUACGAUCGUAAUAUAAGUUCUUUGGAAUAGGACAUCACAGAGGGUGAGAAUCCCGUCUAUGAUUGCGAUUUGUAGCUUUGUGAUACACUUUCAAAGAGUCGGAUUGUUUGGGAAUGCAGUCCAAAACUGGGUGGUAAAUUUCAUUCUAAGCUAAAUAUUGGCGAGAGACCGAUAGCGAACAAGUACCGUGAGGGAAAGAUGAAAAGAACUUUGAAAAGAGAGUUAAAUAGUACGUGAAAUUGUCAAAAGGGAAGCGUUUAACACCAGUGUUGUUUUCUGAAAAUCAACCUCUGUUAGCUUUAUGCAUGUUUGUUUAGACCUAAUCAGCUAUCUUGCAUGUUCUAUUGUUUGCAGUGGUGCACUUUUCAGUUUACAGGUCAACAUCAGUUUUUUUUACCGUAAAAAAGUUAAAGAAAGGUAGCUCAUGGCUCCGGUCGUGAGUGUUAUAGUCUUUUUCCUAUGCGGUAGGAGAGACUGAGGUCUGCAGUGUAGGCUAUUUGGCUAGAUACUCAGGUGCUAUGUGAUACCAUUUCAUAAACAACUUGUUGAUUAUGUUUUGUCUAUUGCAUACUCGCUUGUACUAUCAUACCUACGCUUAGGAUGUUGAGUCGUAGAGCACGCAG
RNAcentral lists this ribosomal RNA (771 nucleotides) under uncultured Neocallimastigales. RNAcentral describes it as "partial large subunit ribosomal RNA". It matches the Rfam family "Eukaryotic large subunit ribosomal RNA", at positions 24 to 628 of the family's 3401-position model. The record is from RNAcentral. Lineage: Eukaryota; Fungi; Neocallimastigomycota; Neocallimastigomycetes; Neocallimastigales.